RNAcentral lists this ribosomal RNA (429 nucleotides) under bacterium. RNAcentral describes it as "partial 16S ribosomal RNA". It matches the Rfam family "Bacterial small subunit ribosomal RNA", at positions 355 to 776 of the family's 1533-position model. The record is from RNAcentral.
UAGGGAAUCUUCGGCAAUGGGGGCAACCCUGACCGAGCAACGCCGCGUGAGUUAAGAAGGUUUUCGGAUCGUAAAGCUCUGUUGUAAGAGAAGAACGUGUGUGAGAGUGGAAAGUUCACACAGUGACGGUAACUUACCAGAAAGGGACGGCUAACUACGUGCCAGCAGCCGCGGUAAUACGUAGGUCCCGAGCGUUGUCCGGAUUUAUUGGGCGUAAAGCGAGCGCAGGCGGUUUAAUAAGUCUGAAGUUAAAGGCAGUGGCUUAACCAUUGUUCGCUUUGGAAACUGUUAAACUUGAGUGCAGAAGGGGAGAGUGGAAUUCCAUGUGUAGCGGUGAAAUGCGUAGAUAUAUGGAGGAACACCGGUGGCGAAAGCGGCUCUCUGGUCUGUAACUGACGCUGAGGCUCGAAAGCGUGGGGAGCAAACAGG